ACUUCCAAGAUGGCGUCUUCACUCACAUAUCUGGAACCUCGGUGCUCCUUGUCCUUCACGCUCCAUUUGGUGCCUUAUUUUCCAGGCCCUCUUCCCUCAGGUAGCCUGGGCUUUCUCACAGCAUGGUGGCAUCAGGGUUGUAGGAUUUCUUACAAGGCACUGACUUGUAGAAAGUUUUCAGGAGCUCCGAAUGAGGAGAUUCAAGGGCUCUGACGACCAACCGUCGGCUGUCCCAGUACGUCACUUCUUCCACAUUCUAAUGGUCAGAGUAGUCACUAAGGCCAGUCCAGGUUCGCGGAAGGAAAAUUAGAUUCCACGUCUCUAUGGGAGGACUAGCCACACUAAGCCACUGCGCUGGUUUAGAACUGUCUGAAGUCCCUCCUAGAGGUCGUGUGUUUGAUUCUGCAUCUCCGUGAUUUGUGAAUCUUGCAUCAUUUAAAUUCAGCCUUACACACUGAUGCCUUUGGUGCCGUCCCAAUAUUUAGGUAGCAAACUCGUAGUGGGUAGAGAUUCAGGCUUAAGCUUCCAGCCUGGCUCUGAGGAGAACUGUCUGGGGCUCCCUGCCCUCUUCCCCAUGGAUGAGACUCUUCCCAGCCUUGGGCAAACACAGCGGGGAGCUGGCACCAUCUCCCGCUAGACACCUCCUCCUUUUCCUCUUGCCCUUACCAUGACUCCCGAGUUAUUCUCAGAAGUAAAAGCUUUCCACGCCUGCUCUUCUCUCCUGCAGCCAGGAGUGCAAAUUUAGAUAUUGGAGCUGCUCAGGCAGAAAAAUGGCCCUGGAAUCAGGGAAGCAGAAACCUGCAGCUGCCACGAAAGGACCGCGGAGAUGAAGACCCGGAAGCUUGCAUGUGUUGAAGCCCGGGGUGUGGGGGACUGUGGUCACGUACUCGAGGGGGCUUCAGAGACCUCUGGGAAGCCCUUUCUGCCCACUCGAAGCCUGCCCCUGUGCCUGACAAUCUUCCAUCGGGAGCGAUGUCAUAAAGAAGAAAUGGAAUUCAGUGGGAAGAGUGGUGGACUCGGGGACAAAAGAUCUGGGUUUGCGCCCUGGCUCUGACCUAACUCACCAGCAUUAUUGGAGGCACGUUAGUCUUCUCAGGUCAAAGCUUCCAUCUCUCCCUGUUUCAUGAACUUAACUUCUGAGGAGUACUGGUCAGGUGUUCUGUAGGAUGUCCACCUGCUGUUGGUCUGAUGCUUUUCACAUGAGGAUUCUGGGGUGAUGCUUCCCAAGAAGAAGACCUGAGGUGAAGCAUCUUUCUCGUCUCCCAGCCUCCUGCCUCCCAAAUGGUAUUGACCUUGAUCACUCAGCUAAGGUGGCAGCUGCCAGAUUGCUCCAUUGUAGAGCUAUAAUUUUCAUCCUUUUCUUAUUUUUAGGGAGGUGGGGAGGAGAGAAAAGGAAUAUUAAGCUCCACCUCCUGGAUGGGGUUGUAUUGACUUAUGUUAUUUGGGUUUCUUCUGUAAGGAAGAUUUGUCUCUUUCCCCCCUUAAUUCCUUUGGUAAAAAUAAUUUCUCAACAUCUGCUAAAUAGCUUUCUCCAAGAUGGAUGAAGACAUGCUCCAUCAAUUGGUACUUGCCUCAAAGUCGAGUUUUAUUCAAGUUAAACUGAAGUCACUGCAAAUUCAAGCAAGAUCCCAAUAUCGACUAAGUUCCUUCUCAGAAGUCCUCCCCCAGGGUCAGGCAGAGGGGGAACUGGGUGGUGUUUCAGAUGUGGCUUUUCAAGCUGUGGCCAGAUUGGCAGCAUCAGCAUCACCUGUUGCCUUGAAAACUGCUUGAUAUGAAUGACUGCAAGAUCUGCUGUUAGUCCCCAGAGCUGCCUUUUACUUCUUUGGAGAAGCUGGGACUGAGGUUGCGUAUUUGGGCAGGGCUCAGCUGUGUGGUUCUUCUACCCUAUGUCACCUGGAGUUAAUGCAUGCUUACAUUUAGCUGGUGAUUCAGAUGGAACACUACGAUGGCCUCUCACCCCCCAGGGUCUCUCUGUAUGUGGCCUCUCAUCAUUGAGCGGUUCAGCUUGGACUUCCUUACAGCAUGGCAUCUGGGCUGCAAGAAGGGAAAGAUGCAGCUGCAAACCUUAAGGGCUGAAGUCUCAAGACAUCACCUCCACUACAAUCUAUUGGCUAAAGCAAAUCCCAGGGCCAGUCCAGACUCAGGAGUAGGAGAAAAUAUUAAUAACGCCUCUUGCUAUGAAGAGUGGCAAGUGUAUACAGGGAGGAGAGGAAGUGCCGGUGGCCAUUUUUGGAAACCAUUAACAUAUAAUUGCAGAUAGUGAUACACUCAGCAAUGAAUAUUAAGCCUAGUAAAGGGAAAGUCUAGAAGGGCUUUCAGGAGGAUUUAUCUUCUGGGCCGGAUCCUGCCUAGGAAAGGCUCAUGCAUCCUUCCUACAAAAGAGGCACUGACACUUCUGAUUAAGGUAGGAUAAGCUGUCACUUGUUGGUAAAGUUUCUACCAGUCUCUAACCCAUUGAAGGAGAAUAUUUUGCUUUCUUCUCUCAGAUCUUGUGGAUGUGCUGUGGAAAUGGAGAACCUUAACCAUUGCAUAGAAUGGACUUGGGGCAAGUUCCUGAGCUAUAAGUUACAUAGCUCAGAAGUAGCAGAGCCAGGAUCCAACACCUGUUUUGCCAUACAUCAAAUGGGGACAAUAGAAGUAACUGAUAUUAACCUAGGGCUGAAAUAAGGCAUGUCUGCUGCUUGGUGGUUGCAGUCACAGUCACAGGAAGUUUUAAAGGCACUGUAGCCAAGAGUUUGGCUUCCUCCUCACAGGUCUCUUGGGGUGGCCCUGUCCUCCCUCUUGUUUCCUUGGCACAGCAGGGUCUAGACCCUCUACUCAGCCAUACACAGGAGCCAGGCUGCUGGAAAACAUACCCCCAGCCCCAACUGCUUUGUCCAGUCUUGGGGGAGGUGGGAAAUGUACACACCUAGAAGUGAUGAUGGUAUUUCUCCUGCAGGUUCCCAUGAAAAGCAGCAUCCCAGUGAAGUCAAAGCCCUGGAACCAUCCUCUUCAUCUGUGUUGCUGCUGAGAGAUCAGAAGUCUACCUCUGGAGAUAGAAUCCUUGUCUGCUGCUGGGAUGGAGGGAAGUGCUAACAUUCCACUAGAAAGUGGGUUCUUCCAUGGAGGGACAGAAUUUGAUUCUUGCUGCUUAUACAAAGUAGGUGUUCACAAGGCACUUGUGAACAGCUAGCUCUGCAGAACAAGUCUCCAUCAUCUCGUUGCAGGCUGCUUACCUGCUGGGAGUGGCAUCCUGGGGCCUUCCUCUCUGGCCACCCUAGACUUUGGUUUUAAUUGCUCCUGAGUCUCCCUUCUUCCUGCCGGCUGGCCCUGCGGUCUGUCACCUACGGGACGGCCAACGUCAGAGCUGGGUGACCUUUCAAAGACACCAGGAUUUGUUUAAUUUUCAGAAUUCACCUCUCUUCAUCCUUUUUAUCAGAGGCAGUUAGGGCCCAGCUGGGGAGGCUAUUUGGCAUUUUUCCCUGUAUUUUGAAACAGGUGGGCUGGGGCCUUCUCAAGUGGAGUCUUUUCAACUGAGAGAACUAGAAAGACAGACAAUGAUAGAAUGGGGUGGGGGUGGAGUAGAAUUACCAAGAGAACCAAACAUACAUUAAGUUAUUUUAACACCUGACUCAUUUUCAUGAAAGUCUUCAUUACUGCAUCUUCUGUCUCCAAGGUUUUCUACACACAUAAUUGCAGCUUGUGUUUACAAAGUCAUUACCACAUGCCAAGCACGUCACAUGUCUCGCUUCAUGUAACCUUCACAGCAGCACCUUGAGGUUCUGUUAUCUCCGUUUUACAGGUAGGUAAGGUUAGUUAUUGCCCAAAGCCAUACAGUGUGUUGAGGGGCCAGAGUUUAAACACAGCUCUGUAGACUCAGUCUGUCCACGAAGCAAGAGUAUGUGCAAACCUCACCUGAUCCUCACAAUAACCUUGGAAAAGAAAUGUAUCCUCCCAUCUGAUAGAGUCCGAGUAGUCUCAGCUGCUAUAAUUGUUAUUCCUUCUGUGCUCAACAUUUGUUGGCUGGGUGACUUGAAAGCUGAAGUGAGAAAAACAGUACCUGGAACAUGGAGUAAAAACCCUUUAACAUAUGGGAAUCUACUAAACCCCAUCAGGUCAGUGAAAUAGGUACUAUUAUCACCAUUUUACAGGAGAAAAAA
Molecule: long non-coding RNA, 4139 nt
Filed under: Homo sapiens (human)
Lineage: Eukaryota; Metazoa; Chordata; Mammalia; Primates; Hominidae
Description: HSALNT0370574
Source: RNAcentral